CACAGAGAACAGGGAGAGAGGAAGAAAGAACAGUUCAACAUGUUGUUGCUGGUCUAGGAUGGUCACAGAAGUCACCUGCAGCUGAAUGUGCUGCCAGACACUUCUGAAAUAGCUAAAAAAGCUGUGGAGCAGCUGUUACACAAGACAAUGCCCCGACUUCCCUCAGAACAACUCUGGAAAGCUACUGUCAUCUUAAGCACAGCUGUAGUGGGAUGUCUGCUACUAAAACUCCCUGGCCCCAGCAUACACAUACCUGGUCAAAUGCUGCCAAAGCAAAACUCAUGAACGUUUUACAACCUAACCCCAAAAAAAUAAUAGAGAGUAUAAUGUUUGUGUCUGUAGAGAGAAUGUACUUCAAGCUACUGCCAGCAGAGAGUCCCAUUGCUUUCAUAUUGAGAAGAAAAUA
Passer domesticus (house sparrow) is the source of this 406-nucleotide long non-coding RNA. RefSeq lists it as uncharacterized. NCBI's taxonomy places the organism in Eukaryota, Metazoa, Chordata, Aves, Passeriformes, Passeridae. The record is from RefSeq and is a predicted model, not a curated record. The transcript has 3 exons.